GCCUACGUGGUGUAGUGAUCAGCAGGCUCGACGCGUAUUCGAGAGGUCCGUGGUUCGAGUCCAGGCGAAGGCA
Molecule: non-coding RNA, 73 nt
Organism: Stegodyphus mimosarum
Lineage: Eukaryota; Metazoa; Arthropoda; Arachnida; Araneae; Eresidae
Source: Rfam